Molecule: ribosomal RNA, 485 nt
Filed under: uncultured eukaryote
Lineage: Eukaryota
Description: partial 18S ribosomal RNA
Rfam family: Eukaryotic small subunit ribosomal RNA
Source: RNAcentral
ACUAUGUAUUUAGUAAUUGGAAUGAGUACAAUUUAAAUCCCUUAACAAGUAACAAUUAGAGGGCAAGUCUGGUGCCAGCAGCCGCGGUAAUUCCAGCUCUAAUAGCGUAUAUUAAUAUUGUUGCAGUUAAAAAGCUCGUAGUUGAAAUUUGGAACUUUAUUAUAUUGGUUUAUCUUUUGAUGAACUGUAUGAUGGGUUUCUUCCUACUAGAGUUCGAUUCUGUUCUUAACUGAAUGGAGUAGUUAUCUUUCGGGGUGGUCAGUUGGUUAUUAUAUCUCCACUAAUAAGCAGAGAGGGGUUAAACCUUUGAAGUGAGUUAUGUGGGUCAAGGUAUAAUGAUUAAUUGGAGUUCUAGUUCAUUUUACUUUGAGAAAAUUAGAGUGUUUAAAGCAGCCUCUUGGGGCACUGAAUACAUUAGCAUGGGAUAAUAAAAUAGGAUCUUCACAAUAUAUUUUAUUGGUUUAAAUUAGCGUAUGAAGAUAAUG